GCCGGGCGUGGUGGCUCACGCCUGUAAUCCCAGCACUUUGGGAGGCCAAGGCGGGUGGAUCACCUGAGGUCAGGAGUUCGAGACCAGCCUGACCAACAUGGUGAAAACCCGUCUCUA
RNAcentral lists this signal recognition particle RNA (117 nucleotides) under Nomascus leucogenys (northern white-cheeked gibbon). RNAcentral describes it as "Metazoan signal recognition particle RNA". It matches the Rfam family "Metazoan signal recognition particle RNA". Rfam says of the family: The signal recognition particle (SRP) is a universally conserved ribonucleoprotein. It is involved in the co-translational targeting of proteins to membranes. Lineage: Eukaryota; Metazoa; Chordata; Mammalia; Primates; Hylobatidae. The record is from Rfam by way of RNAcentral.